This 963-nucleotide ribosomal RNA is filed under the name uncultured bacterium. Its description in RNAcentral is "bacterial SSU rRNA". It matches the Rfam family "Bacterial small subunit ribosomal RNA", at positions 46 to 944 of the family's 1533-position model. The record is from RNAcentral.
GGAUUAGGCAUGCAAGUCGAACGGUAUAAACCUUUCGGGGUUUAGAGAGUGGCGAACGGGUGAGUAACACGUAGGUAAUCUACCCUCAAAACGGGGACAACCCAGGGAAACUUGGGCUAAUACCGGAUGCGUGCAAACAAUGUUUUGGCUGUUAAUGCUAUUCACGGAAGUGAGUAGUGUUAAUGGUUGAGAGCAUUAUUUGCAUAAAAGGUGGCAUUUGCUGCCGUUUGAGGAUGAGCCUGCGUCCUAUUAGUUAGUUGGUGAGGUAAUGGCUUACCAAGGCGAUGAUAGGUAGGCGGCCUUAACGGGUGGUCGCCCACACUGGGAUUGAGAGACGGCCCAGACUCCUACGGGAGGCAGCAGUCGAGAAUAGUCUACAAUGGACGGAAGUCUGAUAGUGCGACGCCGCGUGAACGAAGAAUCCCUUCGGGGUGUAAAGUUCUUUUAUACGUGAGCAGUGCCCUUUAUAUGAAUAGUAUAGAGGGAGGGAUUUAAGCGUAUGAAUAAGCAACGGCUAACUCCGUGCCAGCAGCCGCGGUAACACGGGGGUUGCAAGCGUUGUCCGGAAUUACUAGGCGUAAAGUGCAGGUAGGCGGAUAGAUAAGUUUAAGGUUAAAGGCUACGGCUUACCCGUAGUAAGGCGUUAGAUACUGUUUAUCUGGAAUGCGGUUGAGGGAGACAGAAUUCCUGGUGUAGCGGUGGAAUGCGCAGAGAUCAGGAGGAAUACCGAAAGCGAAGGCAGUCUUCUAAGCCGAUAUUGACGCUAAACUGCGAAAGUGUGGGGGAUCAAACAGGACUAAAUACCCUGGUAGUCCACACAUUAAACGAUAAUCACUAGGUGUUGGGUUCCUAAUAGACUCGGUGCCGGAACUAACGCGAUAAAUGAAUCGCCUGGGGAAUACGAUCCGCAAGGUUAAACUCAAAAGAAUUGACGGGGGCCCCCACAAACCGUGGACCAUGUGG